RNAcentral lists this ribosomal RNA (253 nucleotides) under uncultured bacterium. Its description in RNAcentral is "partial 16S ribosomal RNA". It matches the Rfam family "Bacterial small subunit ribosomal RNA", at positions 524 to 776 of the family's 1533-position model. The record is from RNAcentral.
UACGUAGGGGGCUAGCGUUGUCCGGAUUUAUUGGGCGUAAAGAGCGUGUAGGCGGCCAGGUAGGUCUGCUGUGAAAACUCGAGGCUCAACCUCGAGACGCCGAUGGAAACCAUGUGGCUAGAGUCCGGAAGAGGAGAGUGGAAUUCCUGGCGUAGCGGUGAAAUGCGCAGAUAUCAGGAAGAACACCCGUGGCUAAGGCGGCUCUCUAGUACGGUACUGACGCUGAGACGCGAAAGCGUGGGGAGCGAACAGG